This is a long non-coding RNA of Sander lucioperca (pikeperch), 220 nucleotides long. RefSeq lists it as uncharacterized. The record is from RefSeq and is a predicted model, not a curated record. NCBI's taxonomy places the organism in Eukaryota, Metazoa, Chordata, Actinopteri, Perciformes, Percidae. The transcript has 4 exons.
GGACCAAAAGGCAAAAAAAAAGUCAUGACAGAGCAGGUUCAGAGUGAUCAAAUCACUGAGGCUUCAGCGGAGGAGAUCCAAAAGUCCCUGAGUGGAGUGAAGCUGUCUGCUGAUCCACCCCAGAGUGAACUGGACACUCUCAGCGUGGACCAUGGUGGAGAGCAGGGGUUAAGACGUCGUCUGAUGAAGUAUGUCUGUGAACUGGAACUGGACACAAACA